GCCCCAAGCACGCGCCUUCUAAUGGCGCUGCAGUAGGCGGCGACGCUUUGUACGUAUAACACUGAGCUGAGCCUGUCCGCACCAGGAGCGCCCAUGGGCACGAGUCCCGCUCUGCCAGAGUGCGCCAGCUCCCAAGCGAUUGUGCCUUCGUCAUGUCAGCCGGGGCGCCGGUGGCGUUUGACACCAGCGACGAUUGAUCAUGACCGGGUUGUGAGGACGUACCAUACCGGGUGGCGAAGACAUCCACGGCUGGCGCGACCGGUACGCUUGCCGCAGUGUUGGUUGCUCAGGAUCAGGUACUGGUCCGCGUAACCAACAACAGUCAAGCGUCCGCAUAUUCAUCCCAAAAGCCGGAAUAUCCUUCUGAGCUGGCCGCAAGCAACACAGCGGUAAAAGCUGGAACAAUGCUCGUGACGAUCGUACGUCGAUCGGACGGCGGUACCGGCGAUCUUCCGUUUACAUACGGAACAAUAAUCCGGGCCCACUUCAAGGGGUUCAAUCCCUCGUUCGCCAAGAAGCUGCUAGGCGUCGUCCUGCAGGAGCUGGAAACUUAGUACUAGUAAUAAAUGUCAAGACACCACGGCGGUGUCGACAUAUUGACCUGUGCGUCCGCCUGAUUUUGUGUUUCCAUCACUAAAUGACAUUUAGGUUGAGACCUAUGCAGCGCGUAAACAGCAACACUGCAUGAGAAUAAACGUCGCAUAUGAUAAAUGCAUCGCCGUAGAAGCUUAUGCUGAAGGUAGCACUGCAUUGCAGCGAACUGUGAGCUUUUCGAUAUAUUAAAACGGGAAGUAGCUUAGUAAAUAAUUCGGGUAAGUAACCAGAAAUACUAUGGAGGAUAUAUGAAAUGGUGCCUUUGUGGCACUGCUCUUAAGAUUGGUUCCAAUUGCAGAUGCACAACCUUGGAGUAUGUGGUAUAUUAAACGUUUACGUCAAGCAUUGUGCACGUCUU
Molecule: unclassified non-coding RNA, 952 nt
Filed under: Dermacentor andersoni
Lineage: Eukaryota; Metazoa; Arthropoda; Arachnida; Ixodida; Ixodidae
Description: uncharacterized LOC126517676
Source: RNAcentral